AGUGAACGCUGGCGGUAGGCCUAACACAUGCAAGUCGAACGGCAGCACAGUAAGAGCUUGCUCUUACGGGUGGCGAGUGGCGGACGGGUGAGGAAUACAUCGGAAUCUACUUUUUCGUGGGGGAUAACGUAGGGAAACUUACGCUAAUACCGCAUACGACCUACGGGUGAAAGCAGGGGAUCUUCGGACCUUGCGCGAUUGAAUGAGCCGCUGUCGGAGUAGCUAGUUGGCGGGGUAAAGGCCCACCUAGGCGACGAUCCGUAGCUGGUCUGAGUGGAUGGUCGGCCACACUGGAGCGGGGACACGGUCCAGACGCCUACGGGAGGCAGCAGUGGGGAAUAUUGGACAAUGGGCGCAAGCCUGAUCCAGCCAGACCGCGUGGGUGAAGAAGGCCUUCGGGUUGUAAAGCCCGUUUGUUGGGAAAGAAAAGCAGCAGGUUAAUACCCCGCUGUUCUGACGGUACCCAAAGAAUAAGCACCGGCUAACUUCGUG
This 492-nucleotide ribosomal RNA is filed under the name uncultured bacterium. RNAcentral's name for it is "partial 16S ribosomal RNA". It matches the Rfam family "Bacterial small subunit ribosomal RNA", at positions 29 to 507 of the family's 1533-position model. The record is from RNAcentral.